GAACGAGAAAGUGGAGCAAUCCAUGAGUAAAGUGGCGACCGGGUGAGUAACACGUGACUAACCUACCUCCGAGUGGGGAAUAACUCCGGGAAACCGGGGCUAAUACCGCAUAACAUCGCAAGAUCAAAGCAGCAAUGCGCUUGGAGAGGGGGUCGCGGCUGAUUAGCUAGUUGGUAGGGUAAUGGCCUACCAAGGCGAAGAUCGGUAUCCGGCCUGAGAGGGCGCACGGACACGCUGGAACUGAAACACGGUCCAGACUCCUACGGGAGGCAGCAGUGGGGAAUUUUGCGCAAUGGGGGAAACCCUGACGCAGCAACGCCGCGUGGAGGAUGAAGUCCUUUGGGACGUAAACUCCUUUCGACCGGGACGAUAAUGACGGUACCGGUGGAAGAAGCCCCGGCUAACUUCGUG
RNAcentral lists this ribosomal RNA (411 nucleotides) under uncultured bacterium. RNAcentral's name for it is "bacterial SSU rRNA". It matches the Rfam family "Bacterial small subunit ribosomal RNA", at positions 64 to 507 of the family's 1533-position model. The record is from RNAcentral.